CUGGAGGAAGGCUGUGAGGACGACGGCACGGUCAUGAUGGACUGGGGCUCCUCAUGGUGCUGCACUGUCCCUGGGUGGUGGAGAAGGCUCUGGCGGCAGGGGAUAGGGGUUACCACCAUGCUGUGUACAGAGCGCCGCUGGAUCCAGACACAGCACUACCUACAGGCUUCAAAAAGUAACGGACACGCCCCUCCGACUACGUGAUGUUAGCCCUCUCUCGCUGACUGUUUCCACAGGCCUUAUGUUUAAGGGUUACUUCAGGAUGUGGGUGUCCCUUCAAUCAACUUCCCCAGAGUCAGGUGAACUCGUGGAUACCUCUUUAUCUGUCUCUGCGUCCAGUAUGAAGGACGUCGGAGGUCGGUUCGUGAGCCGAUGCUAACUAGCUUAGCACAAAGACUGGAAGUCUUCGGGUACAGCUAGCAUUCCCCGGGGAAGUAGAUAAAGGGCCUCAUUGCCAAAAUCCCGAAGGAUUAGUGAUAGCAAGAAGUGCUACUGGUAGAGAUGUGGAGCUGCUUGCAACAGUAUGUAACCCAGCUAUGAACCAUCCUGGUGUGUGUAGGUUUGAGGCAGGCAGUAAGACACCGUAAGGGAAAGAUCAAUUAUUAGCAAAAAGUCAGGGUGUGAACUGUGAAAUAAUGGGCACAUAUACAUGACUGACUGACUGACUGACACACACACACACACACACACACACACACACACACACACACACACACACACACACACACACACACACACACACACACACACACACACACACACACACUCUCUCUCUCUCUCAAAGUCUGAGCUAUCGCAGUGCCUUGUCCUCCACCCAGAGGAAAUCCAUAACGCCAUGCUGUGAUAGUGAAGGGGUAGCUCCUCAGUCAUCAGAUACUGUACUCUGUCUGUACUGCUGAAGAACAUAGACUUGUUACAAUGUAGAC
This 926-nucleotide long non-coding RNA is filed under the name Oncorhynchus kisutch (coho salmon). Its description in RNAcentral is "lncRNA (ENSOKIG00005049050.1)". The record is from RNAcentral. Lineage: Eukaryota; Metazoa; Chordata; Actinopteri; Salmoniformes; Salmonidae.